GCUGGUCCUGGCCGGGCCCCGUCUGGAAGACUAGUGAUUUUGUUGUUCUCUAGCUGACCGCACGACAACAAAUCCCAGUCUGCCUGACGGUGCCCGGUGUCCUCGUCGGGGGCCGUGC
Ornithorhynchus anatinus (platypus) is the source of this 118-nucleotide non-coding RNA. RefSeq annotates it as microRNA mir-7-2. NCBI's taxonomy places the organism in Eukaryota, Metazoa, Chordata, Mammalia, Monotremata, Ornithorhynchidae. The transcript has a single exon. The record is from RefSeq and is marked provisional.